RNAcentral lists this ribosomal RNA (145 nucleotides) under uncultured bacterium Dw-10. RNAcentral describes it as "partial 16S ribosomal RNA". It matches the Rfam family "Bacterial small subunit ribosomal RNA", at positions 338 to 500 of the family's 1533-position model. The record is from RNAcentral.
CCUACGGGAGGCAGCAGUGGGGAAUAUUGGACAAUGGGCGAAAGCCUGAUCCAGCAAUGCCGCGUGAGUGAUGAAGGCCUUAGGGUUGUAAAGCUCUUUUACCAGGGAUGAUAAUGACAGUACCUGGAGAAUAAGCUCCGGCUAA